Molecule: long non-coding RNA, 522 nt
Organism: Gossypium arboreum
Lineage: Eukaryota; Viridiplantae; Streptophyta; Magnoliopsida; Malvales; Malvaceae
Exons: 2
Source: RefSeq, a predicted model, not a curated record
AGUUAUUCCAUGUUCUCUUUUAACUUCCACCAUCCCUUCAUUGCACGAUUCUAAUUCCUUAGCCAAUAGUCACUCACCUCAGCUGUAAAACUCUCCCUUAUAUAUACAAUUCAACCAUAUAUGCAGAAAACAGAAAAUUGCAUUUUCCAAGAGGUAGCAAUGGCAUCAGUCAAGGCUGCUGGCAUUCAACUCUUUGGGCAGGUCAAGAAGGAAGCCACUGAUGCUUCCUCCAAGUCCAAACCCGCUGCUUCCAAGCCCGCCGCCAAAAAGGCUGCUCCAAAGCCUCAGGAACCUAAGAAGAAGAAGGGAAAAGGUGGGAAAGCAGCGACCAAGCAGUAGUUGCCAGCCCCAAGUCAAGCGCAGACUUUUAUGACUUCAGACCCUGAUGAUCUAAGUUAAUUAUAAUACUAUACAUACAUAUGUUAUGCUCAGGAAACUUAAUUAAUUAGGGUUUCCUGUAAGUUAUGAUGAGAAAGAUAUUGCGCUAAUUAAAUAAAGACAGCAUCUAUGUAAUUAUCAUUA